CCUACGGGUGGCAGCAGUGGGGAAUAUUGCACAAUGGGCGCAAGCCUGAUGCAGCCAUGCCGCGUGUGUGAAGAAGGCCUUCGGGUUGUAAAGCACUUUCAGCGGGGAGGAAGGCGGCGAGGUUAAUAACCUCAUCGAUUGACGUUACCCGCAGAAGAAGCACCGGCUAACUCCGUGCCAGCAGCCGCGGUAAUACGGAGGGUGCAAGCGUUAAUCGGAAUUACUGGGCGUAAAGCGCACGCAGGCGGUCUGUCAAGUCGGAUGUGAAAUCCCCGGGCUCAACCUGGGAACUGCAUUCGAAACUGGCAGGCUAGAGUCUUGUAGAGGGGGGUAGAAUUCCAGGUGUAGCGGUGAAAUGCGUAGAGAUCUGGAGGAAUACCGGUGGCGAAGGCGGCCCCCUGGACAAAGACUGACGCUCAGGUGCGAAAGCGUGGGGAGCAAACAGGAUUAGAUACCCUAGUAGUC
RNAcentral lists this ribosomal RNA (465 nucleotides) under uncultured Klebsiella sp. RNAcentral's name for it is "bacterial SSU rRNA". It matches the Rfam family "Bacterial small subunit ribosomal RNA", at positions 338 to 795 of the family's 1533-position model. Lineage: Bacteria; Pseudomonadati; Pseudomonadota; Gammaproteobacteria; Enterobacterales; Enterobacteriaceae. The record is from RNAcentral.